GCCUAGAGCGUCCCGGAAGUGGCUGGGGGAAGGCGGCCAGGCGCGGACCGGCGGCGCGGGGAGAGGCGGCACUUCCGGCGGUGGCGGCGGCCAGGGUUUGCAGUUCCUAAAGCGAGGCAUGUGGGACCGUGCCAUGAGCCCAGAGGGGUGUCCCCAGCACAGGCGGUACAGCCUCGAUUAAGCAGAAACCGGCUCCAAGGACCCCUCUCUACUCUGUGGUCCAUGU
Neofelis nebulosa (Clouded leopard) is the source of this 226-nucleotide long non-coding RNA. RefSeq lists it as uncharacterized. Lineage: Eukaryota; Metazoa; Chordata; Mammalia; Carnivora; Felidae. The record is from RefSeq and is a predicted model, not a curated record. The transcript is spliced from 2 exons.